GACGAACGCUGACGGCGUGCUUAACACAUGCAAGUCGAACGGUAAGGCCCUUCGGGGUACACGAGUGGCGAACGGGUGAGUAACACGUGGGUGAUCUGCCCUGCACUUCGGGAUAAGCCUGGGAAACUGGGUCUAAUACCGGAUAGGACCACUGCCUGCAUGGGUGGUGGUGGAAGCUUUUGCGGUGUGGGAUGGGCCCGCGGCCUAUCAGCUUGUUGGUGGGGUAAUGGCCUACCAAGGCGACGACGGGUAGCCGGCCUGAGAGGGUGACCGGCCACACUGGGACUGAGAUACGGCCCAGACUCCUACGGGAGGCAGCAGUGGGGAAUAUUGCACAAUGGGCGCAAGCCUGAUGCAGCGACGCCGCGUGAGGGAUGACGGCCUUCGGGUUGUAAACCUCUUUCAGCACCGACGAAGCGCAAGUGACGGUAGGUGCAGAAGAAGGACCGGCCAACUACGUGCCAGCAGCCGCCGUAA
RNAcentral lists this ribosomal RNA (477 nucleotides) under uncultured bacterium. Its description in RNAcentral is "partial 16S ribosomal RNA". It matches the Rfam family "Bacterial small subunit ribosomal RNA", at positions 28 to 523 of the family's 1533-position model. The record is from RNAcentral.